Molecule: long non-coding RNA, 1513 nt
Filed under: Sorghum bicolor (sorghum)
Lineage: Eukaryota; Viridiplantae; Streptophyta; Magnoliopsida; Poales; Poaceae
Description: long non-coding RNA (SBIC_LNC014494)
Source: RNAcentral
GGCCAGGGGAGUUUGGUUUUAUAGUCCCUUCAAGUGAAUCUGGGCUGUCGGAUCAAACCGACAUUGAUCGUGUGGUUUUCCUUGAAGUAUUAGGUUGGUGGAGCAUGAUCCCCGAGCUUCGCCCUGAUUGGUCCAGGGGGAGGGCGGGCGCCCAGUAAGGGAGGGCGGGCGCCCAGUGCCCGGCUCCGUUACGUCUCCCGUUCGCUCCCGUGGCUUCUGGAGUCUUCUAGAUGAUAGAAAAUUACGCGGCGCGUUAAUAUCUCUAUGUAAACCCGACGUGUGGGCCUUUCUUCCGUAUUUCCUGAUAACCCCCUGCAGAAAUAGACAAACACCAAAACUCGUGGAAUUCUAUCAGAUAAAACCCUAAGUCUAGGUGUUGGUUGCAUUUGGAUCCUUUUCCAUGAUUAGUUGAUGGUUAAAUGUGAGAAUUAAGGACCGUCAACAAGCUCCCCCAAGCUUAACCUUUGCUCGUCCCUGAGCAAAGCUAAAAUCAGCAAGAAAUCAGGGGUUACUUUUAUGCCUCUUACUACAGGGUUUUUAAGUUAUCACUAAGGUCUUAAGUGAUUGAAAAACAGAACGAUCAAGUCAAGCACUAUGUCUCAAGUUCUUCCGUCUUACCUUUGUUCUGGAGUUUGUAUAUGUUCCCAAGAUAAAACUGAGGUAUUUGCCUUCUUCUCGAAAGAUAUAUAAGUAGAGCUUUAAAAGUUUUAGCAUACUUACUUUGCAUUUUGCUAUGUCAAAACUCAGAGCAAGGGAGAGGAAUGUCAUACUCCUAGAUCAAGACCUUUGACCUUUUUAAAAAGUUUGUCAUCUCUUACUGGCAUAUUGCUUAUUAGAGGGACCAUGGGCUAUCAUUUUUUUCUUCUUCUUUUUUUCUCAAGUGGGCAGCAAGUACCCCUAAUUCUACUGUCGGACACAUGUCCAUUUUUUCCACUCAGGUGGGUAUCUUUGUACCCCUAAUUCUACUUCGGACACUUGUCCAUUUUUACCUCUCGUCUCACUUUUUUUUCGAAUCAAAAUUUUUGCAUAGUCCCAUGCCUCUAACGCAAUAAUACUUCGGAAGAGUGAAUCUUUUAUAUUUUAAAACAAAAAGCUCUUGAUCUUGGGAGCAUGAUAAUUCUCUCAACCAAAACUACAAGAAUUAACAAUGGCUUGAACAAAGCAAGUGCCCACAAUUUUAAUAUUUAUAUCUUAUAAGACUCUAGGUAUUAUGAUCUAUAUAUAUUUUUUUAAUGAAUUUUUAGAUUUUCAAAAGAUAAAAUCUCCAGAACUCUAGCAAAACUUGGAACAAGUUAAAUAGUAGCUCAGACCUGCUCAUAUCAUGUUUGUCAAUUACCUAGACUUGAAUCAAACUUUCUUUUUAUUUUAUUUAAAACUUAGGAUUACACAAAACUAUUGUAUAUUACUCAAAAGAAAAACUUUGUUUGGUUUCAUGGUUAUGCAUUUUUUUUAUUUCCGAAUACUAGUAAAUAAAACCAAGAAAGAAAAGUAAUACUUAUCUAGAUACACGUGG